CGAUGAUGGAUUUACUACUUCCUGUGUAUCCUCACUGUGUAUUCUUGGCACGAGUAUUUUACCGUGAUGGAAACUUUGCGAAGCAAACGCUCGGCGAUUGGUACUAUGCGUAAUGCUGAUGGUUGGCGCCUGACAGAAAGGGCUGAUCGAGAGGGAAACUAAUUGGGAAGACAACUAGCUACCCUUGCUAAAAGGGUAGCGCAGAGCCAGGGACGCAAUGGUCGGUUACCAUAGCAACGAGAGGGGUGCCUCUCGAAUACACAGGAGAACAGUGGAGCAAGAGAAGAAGACUGACGUAAGAGUACUACGGUUAGGACCAUACCCGUGUGGUUUGCUAUUCGUGAUGCAUGGUUAGAGGUUCAUGACGUCAAUGGAUAAGAUUGGAUAUGGUUAUAGUAUGACUAAACGAAUUUUUCACUAUUACACAAUUCGAUGGUUAUAACCGGGGAUUGCUUGAGAUGAAAAAAAUUAGGCAGCAUAAUAAAAAAAUAAAAAUCAAUAAUGAAUCAUCGGAACGGUAAGGUCUUCUCAAGAAUGCUGUAACGUCUUCGAUGUUAUUCACAAGCAAUUGGAUGGUGAAUUCAUAGUCAAAGAAUUGCAAAUAAUUUCUACUCCUUUAAUCGUUGUGAAGGAUCACAAGGAACGUAAGUGUAUUCCUAUCUUUUUGUGUGCUUAUCUUUUCUGACUCACUUUUUCAAUUCUACUUCCUCUUAUGACGUUUUUCAUAAAUUUCUUCCUCCUUUUUUUUUAUGGCGACGUAAGCAAAACGUGAUCGAGCGUAGAUCGUCCAUUGUGCUGAUGGUUGGCCUAAUAUGGUAAUGAUGAAAGCUACCUAAGUAUUUAGGCUAUAUGUAUCCUAUAGGUCCAUUAGGCUAUGGUGUGAAUAUAGAGGUACGAUGCAAUACCGGGUGUCUUAAGAAGAUCAGUAUUACAGAAUAAAGCCUUUCUUUGUAAUAUUUAGCUUAUGGAAUCCUGAGAGCGUUGUAGCUAGGUUACUCGAGAUUGCUCCCAUUUCAACAGGAAACCGAUCUCUCUCCGGAAACGAGGUACUGUCAUAUAGAAGAAUUAAAGGAGCACGCGCAUGGAACUACGCCAUAAUGGAUUACAUGGAAGAUUUAAUCCCUCGAGGCUUUCUCUCGUUUCCAUUAAGUUUCCUUAAUCGGUGCCGGUCGCUUCCUUGUUCUCGUUGCGUGAGAAAAUCUGGAGUCGAGAUCGGUUCAAGGUCAGGGCCGUAGAGCCAGUCCCCCUGGAACUGCCAGCUUCGCAUGGAUACUUAAAAUCGUCUGUGUAUAAAAAUAUAUAGAAAUUAUUCGUACAGUCUUUCCCGCAGAAGUUCCUUUCAUUGAAACACGAAACAAUUGCAUGCCUGCCAAAUCAUCGUAGACACAUUCGACCGAGUUGAAAUUUAUUUAAGUAAUAUUGAAAAAGAUUAUUUUCCUCCGCUUCAUCCCGUCUCUCUCUCAAUUUUCUUUAUGCGAUACAAACAGUUCUACGUGCAUUUCGCUGAAAACCAGAAAAUGACGUAGCAAAAUAAUCUAAAUUUAGAAAAUAAUCUUGCUUGUUGCCCGAACGUCGAAAACAAACUUUUCAAAAAGUUAUAGUCUUGCUGCGAAUAGUUUGGCAGGAACGUUAAGAGAAGGCAAUUUCAGUUAAAGCUUUCGAUACCGAUCUUGAGCAGAUCGAUGACUUCGCAGGGUACGAGAGAAUACAAAGGAAAAAGGGAAGUGAAAAAAGAUAUAGGAUAGUACCAAGUAAUAGUAAAUGGCCCGGGGACUCGUCCUUGCAGCAGUUUACAACGUACUAUGCGCCUCCGCACAGGA
Long non-coding RNA from Cephus cinctus (wheat stem sawfly), 1820 nucleotides. RefSeq lists it as uncharacterized. Lineage: Eukaryota; Metazoa; Arthropoda; Insecta; Hymenoptera; Cephidae. The record is from RefSeq and is a predicted model, not a curated record. The transcript is spliced from 4 exons.